UGGGGAAUUUUGCACAAUGGGGGAAACCCUGAUGCAGCGACGCCGCGUGAUUUAGAAGGCCUUCGGGUUGUAAAAAUCUUUUCUAUGGGAAGAAAAUGACAGUACCAUAGGAAUAAGGACCGGCCAAUUACGUGCCAGCAGCCGUGGUAAUACGUAAGGUCCGAGCGUUGUCCGGAAUCAUUGGGCGUAAAGGGUACGUAGGCGGGUAAGCAAGUUAGAUGUGAAAUCCUAUAGCUCAACUAUAGUAAGCUUUUAAAACUGCUCAUCUUGAGGUAUGGAAGGGAACGUGGAAUUCCUAGUGUAGCGGUGAAAUGCGCAGAUAUUAGGAGGAAUACCGGUGGCGAAGGCGACUUUCUGGCCAUAACCUGACGCUGAGGUACGAAAGCGCGGGUAGCAAACAGG
This 402-nucleotide ribosomal RNA is filed under the name bacterium. RNAcentral describes it as "partial 16S ribosomal RNA". It matches the Rfam family "Bacterial small subunit ribosomal RNA", at positions 355 to 776 of the family's 1533-position model. The record is from RNAcentral.